AACGCUGGCGGCAGGCCUAACACAUGCAAGUCGAGCGCCCCGCAAGGGGAGCGGCAGACGGGAGAGUAACACGUGGGAACGUACCCUUCAGUUCGGAACAACCCAGGGAAACUUGGGCUAAUACCGAAUACGUCCGCAAGGAGAAAGAUUUAUCGCUGAAGGAUCGGCCCGCGUCUGAUUAGCUUGUUGGUGGGGUAACGGCCCACCAAGGCUACGAUCAGUAGCUGGUCUGAGAGGAUGAUCAGCCUCACUGGGACUGAGACACGGCCCAGACUCCUACGGGAGGCAGCAGUGGGGAAUAUUGGACAAUGGGCGCAAGCCUGAUCCAGCCAUGCCGCGUGGGUGAUGAAGGCCCUAGGGUUGUAAAGCCCUUUCGGCGGGGAAGAUAAUGACGGUACCCGCAGAAGAAGCCCCGGCUAACUUCGUGCCAGCAGCCGCGGUAAUACGAAGGGAGCUAGCGUUGCUCGGAAUCACUGGGCGUAAAGCGCACGUAGGCGGGUUGCUAAGUCGGAGGUGAAAUCCUGGAGCUCAACUCCAGAACUGCCUUCGAUACUGGCGAUCUUGA
RNAcentral lists this ribosomal RNA (565 nucleotides) under uncultured bacterium. RNAcentral's name for it is "bacterial SSU rRNA". It matches the Rfam family "Bacterial small subunit ribosomal RNA", at positions 32 to 645 of the family's 1533-position model. The record is from RNAcentral.